Molecule: transfer RNA, 58 nt
Filed under: Dipodomys ordii (Ord's kangaroo rat)
Lineage: Eukaryota; Metazoa; Chordata; Mammalia; Rodentia; Heteromyidae
Rfam family: tRNA
About the family: Transfer RNA (tRNA) molecules are approximately 80 nucleotides in length. Their secondary structure includes four short double-helical elements and three loops (D, anti-codon, and T loops).
Source: Rfam by way of RNAcentral
UGGCUCAGUGGUAGAGCGCUUGCCUUGCAUGCAUGAGGCACUGGGUUCGAUUCCUCAG